This 253-nucleotide ribosomal RNA is filed under the name uncultured bacterium. Its description in RNAcentral is "partial 16S ribosomal RNA". It matches the Rfam family "Bacterial small subunit ribosomal RNA", at positions 524 to 776 of the family's 1533-position model. The record is from RNAcentral.
UACGAAGGGUGCAAGCGUUACUCGGAAUUACUGGGCGUAAAGCGUGCGUAGGUGAUUCGUUAAGUCCGAUGUGAAAGCCCUGGGCUCAACCUGGGAAUGGCAUUGGAUACUGGCGGGCUAGAGUGCGGUAGAGGGUAGUGGAAUUCCCGGUGUAGCAGUGAAAUGCGUAGAGAUCGGGAGGAACAUCCGUGGCGAAGGCGACUACCUGGACCAGCACUGACACUGAGGCACGAAAGCGUGGGGAGCAAACAGG